CUACUGGGGAUGUGCCUGAAACCAAGGUAUAUGCACUUGACCGGAAUCAAAUCUGGGACCUUUCAGUCUGCAGGCCGACACUGCUGACGCUCUAUCCACUGAGCCACACCGGUUUCGGCUCACACCCACUUCUUCAGGCAAAAAGGGCCACGUUCCUGCCCUGCUCACCAGCCAGCCAUGGGUCUGCACCACAACCCCAUGUAUAACCAAGAGCUGGGCCACAGAGCGGGGCUGCAGGCCGAUGCCCGGCCAGCCGUUGCCAGACACAGGCUGCACUGGGACAGGGGACACGUGUUUCCUCUGCUUAGCUCGGCUCCGGAAAUCAGGCCACCCCCUCCGAAGCCCAGCGGACAGCAGCCUUGAGCCUAAUCCAGAGCUCUUUCCUUCCGGAUACUG
Pipistrellus kuhlii (Kuhl's pipistrelle) is the source of this 396-nucleotide long non-coding RNA. RefSeq lists it as uncharacterized. Lineage: Eukaryota; Metazoa; Chordata; Mammalia; Chiroptera; Vespertilionidae. The transcript has 2 exons. The record is from RefSeq and is a predicted model, not a curated record.